AGAGUUUGAUCAUGGCUCAGAAUCAACGCUGGCGGCAUGCCUAACACAUGCAAGUCGAGCGAGAAAGUGUAGCAAUACAUGAGUAAAGCGGCGCACGGGUGAGUAACACGUGGAUAACCUGCCUCAAAGUGGGGAAUAACACCGGGAAACCGGUGCUAAUACCGCAUAUUCUGACGAGAUCUGUGGAUUUCGUCAGGAAAGGAGCAAUUCGCUAUGAGAGGGGUCCGCGGCUGAUUAGCUAGUUGGUGAGGUAAUGGCUCACCAAGGCAACGAUCAGUAGCCGGUCUGAGAGGACGGUCGGCCACACUGGAACUGAGACACGGUCCAGACUCCUACGGGAGGCAGCAGUGGGGAAUUUUUCGCAAUGGGGGCAACCCUGACGAAGCAAUGCCGCGUGGAUGAUGAAGUAUCUCGGUACGUAAAAUCCUUUCGACGGGGACGAAACCGCAAGGUUGACGGCACCCGUAGAAGAAGCCCCGGCUAACUCCGUGCCAGCAGCCGCGGUAAUACGGGGGGGGCAAGCGUUGUUCGGAAUUACUGGGCGUAAAGGGUGCGUAGGCGGUUCUCUAAGUCGGAUGUGAAAGCUCUGGGCUCAACCCAGAGACUGCAUCCGAAACUGGAGGACUAGGGUUCUGGAGGGGAAAGCGGAAUUCCUGGUGUAGCGGUGAAAUGCGUAGAUAUCAGGAGGAACACCGGUGGCGAAGGCGGCUUUCUGGACAGAUACCGACGCUGAGGCACGAAAGCUAGGGGAGCAAACAGGAUUAGAUACCCUAGUAGUCC
This 780-nucleotide ribosomal RNA is filed under the name uncultured bacterium. Its description in RNAcentral is "bacterial SSU rRNA". It matches the Rfam family "Bacterial small subunit ribosomal RNA", at positions 8 to 796 of the family's 1533-position model. The record is from RNAcentral.